This 808-nucleotide ribosomal RNA is filed under the name Rhodococcus sp. THI438. RNAcentral describes it as "bacterial SSU rRNA". It matches the Rfam family "Bacterial small subunit ribosomal RNA", at positions 54 to 878 of the family's 1533-position model. The record is from RNAcentral. Lineage: Bacteria; Bacillati; Actinomycetota; Actinomycetes; Mycobacteriales; Nocardiaceae.
CAUGCAAGUCGAGCGGUAAGGCCUUUCGGGGUACACGAGCGGCGAACGGGUGAGUAACACGUGGGUGAUCUGCCCUGCACUUCGGGAUAAGCCUGGGAAACUGGGUCUAAUACCGGAUAUGACCUCCUAUCGCAUGGUGGGUGGUGGAAAGAUUUAUCGGUGCAGGAUGGGCCCGCGGCCUAUCAGCUUGUUGGUGGGGUAAUGGCCUACCAAGGCGACGACGGGUAGCCGACCUGAGAGGGUGACCGGCCACACUGGGACUGAGACACGGCCCAGACUCCUACGGGAGGCAGCAGUGGGGAAUAUUGCACAAUGGGCGAAAGCCUGAUGCAGCGACGCCGCGUGAGGGAUGACGGCCUUCGGGUUGUAAACCUCUUUCAGCAGGGACGAAGCGCAAGUGACGGUACCUGCAGAAGAAGCACCGGCUAACUACGUGCCAGCAGCCGCGGUAAUACGUAGGGUGCAAGCGUUGUCCGGAAUUACUGGGCGUAAAGAGUUCGUAGGCGGUUUGUCGCGUCGUUUGUGAAAACCAGCAGCUCAACUGCUGGCUUGCAGGCGAUACGGGCAGACUUGAGUACUGCAGGGGAGACUGGAAUUCCUGGUGUAGCGGUGAAAUGCGCAGAUAUCAGGAGGAACACCGGUGGCGAAGGCGGGUCUCUGGGCAGUAACUGACGCUGAGGAACGAAAGCGUGGGUAGCGAACAGGAUUAGAUACCCUGGUAGUCCACGCCGUAAACGGUGGGCGCUAGGUGUGGGUUCCUUCCACGGAAUCCGUGCCGUAGCUAACGCAUUAAGCGCCCCGCCUGGGG